This 335-nucleotide long non-coding RNA is filed under the name Phoenix dactylifera (date palm). Its description in RNAcentral is "long non-coding RNA (PDAC_LNC015285)". Lineage: Eukaryota; Viridiplantae; Streptophyta; Magnoliopsida; Arecales; Arecaceae. The record is from RNAcentral.
UUUCUUCAAGAUACAAAACAUUCAUAUAGCAUGUUUCUUAACUAGGUGACUCAAUCGUAAGAUAUGACAACAAUUGAAUGUUGAGUCAUUUUACUCAAGAGAUUGCCAAAUAUAAGCAAACACAUGUCACUUGAACUUAAGAGAUAGUUUCAUUAACCAAGAAGGUUCAAAGACAAGCAUGUGAAGCAAUAGAAAGAUUUAUCAAGGUCAAAUCAAUUUUUUUAUUUUCAGAAUCAAUUGGGCUUAGAUUCUAUUUGCUUAAGAUAAUUAUUAAAAAGACAUGUUAGCUAAGUUUUAAUCAACUUUAUCUUCAACAGUUGUUUCUAUCAAAAUUC